Candoia aspera is the source of this 890-nucleotide long non-coding RNA. RefSeq lists it as uncharacterized. NCBI's taxonomy places the organism in Eukaryota, Metazoa, Chordata, Lepidosauria, Squamata, Candoiidae. The record is from RefSeq and is a predicted model, not a curated record. The transcript has 2 exons.
CAGUAUUGAAAACAGGUAUCAGUAGAAGGCCAGAGUGAAUAUCCAUUGUUGGGCUUUGUUGUUCGAAAUAUAAAGAUACCUUCAAGUCAAGCUGGACUCCUGACUACUGUAGAGACAUGUCCAAUGCAGUCUUCUUAGUAACAGUACAGGAAUUGUUUGUCGUUGCUUUCUUAUGGGAUACUUCAAUUUUCCAGCCCAGGGUUUCUCCUUGUGCCCUGCAAUCAGUUUUGUUACUUGAACAUCCACAAACCAAAAUACUAUGCAAAGAAAUACUGAGGUAGGCUUUUAGAAUCUAAUCUUAAUCUCACUAGAGCAACUAUCCUAUAUUCCUUAAAAAGAAAAAAAGCUGGAAUAAAUUUGAAGCAUGUAUGGCAAUGCUAAGGCAGUUCAGCCUUUAUUCAGAGUGGAUGGCAGCAUUUUAAUAUCAUAAAUUGGGAGUUCAGUUUCCUUAUUUGCAAUGGCUGUAGUUGAUAUAGUUUACCAGAUACUAUUAUUCUGCUUUUUUAAAAAAAAGAAUACUUGUACAUGUCUAUUUACUACAUGUUAAAUUCUCUCUGAUUUAAUUAAAGUAUCUGUGUACCUUGCAGUGGAUUUUGAUAUUUCCACAUAUGUGGGAUCAACAAUAUUUUGUUUCUUCUUCACAGCAAUCUUUGAGAAAGUCCUUGAUGCAGCUAAGGGAACACACUCACAACCUUUGUACCUGAAGGGACUUAAUUGCAUGUCUGCAAAAUAUUCCUGCAGACCAGUUAAGACCAUGACCCGUUACAGACAUAAUGUAACCGCUUCUUCUCCCCCUUCCCCAAUUUUCUUUCUUGAUGAGCACUUGGAAAUUUAAAAACUGGCACAUCUUGUAAAGGUUUCAUUGGCCCAAUAAAAUUAAUGUGGAUAUU